GGACUACCGGGGUAUCUAAUCCCGUUUGCUCCCCCAGCUUUCGCUUCUCAGCGUCAGAUGCCGACCAGAAAGCCGCCUUCGCCACUGGUGUUCCUCCUGAUAUCUACGCAUUUCACCGCUACACCAGGAAUUCCACUUUCCUCUUCGGAUCUCAAGGUUGGCAGUUUCCCUGAAGAGUCCAGAGUUGAGCUCUGGAUUUUAUUCAGGGACAUACCAAUCCGCCUACAAGCGCUUUACGCCCAGUAAUUCCGGACAACGCUAGCCCCCUACGUUUUACCGCGGCGGCUGGCAC
RNAcentral lists this ribosomal RNA (292 nucleotides) under uncultured bacterium. RNAcentral's name for it is "partial 16S ribosomal RNA". The record is from RNAcentral.